AUAUUGUUGUAGCGUUAUUAAUAUUUAACGUUAUUAUUUCACAAUAUACUCGAUUCGAUUUUAUGCAUUCUAUGCUAGUUGGGUGGAGGUAUAUGUACAUUACAAAAAAUGUUUGAAAAAAUAAUACUUUUUCUGACAAUAAUUUUAUUAGCAAAAGGUUUAAGCCAAUCAAUUACUUCUAAUGAUGAACAAUAUCCAUCAUCAAUAAACGUGAGUUCGUUAAAUAAUGCGCAGAGUUCGAGUACAUCACUAUCCAAUGUUUAUCUACAAAAAUCGAUUGAAUCAUCUCCCGGCUACAUUGAAACAGAAACUACUGUUUCUACUGAUUGCAUUUUCUUCUUGUUUUUCUAUUUUUGUUAAAGUAAAUCAUUAAGAUAAGUCGUGGCGAGGCCUUAAGGAAUUUUUUUUUUGGUAAGAUCACUUUACUUGUAUACAAAUAAAUUUAAGAAACUUUUUAUAUAAGCCUUUAAUUCAUAAUUACUAGUAUUAAUAAAUUACACUCGACUGUCAAAAAGUGUUUCGUCCGUGUUAAUUCUAAUGUUACAAUAAAAAUAUUUAAAAUAUUAUUUAACAGCUACCUACUUAAUAUUAAUAAAAUUUUAGGUAUAUUAAGUUUGACAGAUUUAUUUAAAAGGCAAAUAAUAUGGCACUUACAUAAAAAAUCUAAUUAGUAAAAAAUGUAUGUAAUUGUUUUGUAAAUUUAAGUUACUAAAAUAACAUUUUAUAUAUUUAUUAUAGUUACAAUUCAGUUUAUCAACGUACAGCUAUAUAAGAACAAAAAGCAAUGCGGUCUUAUCGAUUACUUUCCUAUUUCAGAACAUCGAUGUGUAAGAAAAGUUGAAUGUUUUUAAAACCGUUACAAGUUAUACGAUUAUAAAAUACGAUUGUCUACA
Molecule: long non-coding RNA, 893 nt
Organism: Vanessa tameamea
Lineage: Eukaryota; Metazoa; Arthropoda; Insecta; Lepidoptera; Nymphalidae
Exons: 4
Source: RefSeq, a predicted model, not a curated record